RNAcentral lists this ribosomal RNA (253 nucleotides) under Sphingomonadaceae bacterium. RNAcentral's name for it is "partial 16S ribosomal RNA". It matches the Rfam family "Bacterial small subunit ribosomal RNA", at positions 524 to 776 of the family's 1533-position model. RNAcentral also lists the same sequence under 1 other name. The record is from RNAcentral. Lineage: Bacteria; Pseudomonadati; Pseudomonadota; Alphaproteobacteria; Sphingomonadales; Sphingomonadaceae.
UACGGAGGGGGCUAGCGUUGUUCGGAAUUACUGGGCGUAAAGCGCGCGUAGGCGGCUUCGCAAGUCAGAGGUGAAAGCCCGGGGCUCAACCCCGGAAUUGCCUUUGAGACUGCGUCGCUAGAAUCCGGGAGAGGUGAGUGGAAUUCCGAGUGUAGAGGUGAAAUUCGUAGAUAUUCGGAAGAACACCAGUGGCGAAGGCGGCUCACUGGACCGGUAUUGACGCUGAGGUGCGAAAGCGUGGGGAGCAAACAGG